UACAGAGGUCCCAAGCGUUGUUCGGAUUCAUUGGGCGUAAAGGGUGUGUAGGUGGCGCCGUAAGUCGGGUGUGAAAUCUCGGGGCUUAACUCCGAAACUGCAUUCGAUACUGCGGUGCUUGAGGACUGGAGAGGAGACUGGAAUUCAUGGUGUAGCAGUGAAAUGCGUAGAGAUCAUGAGGAAGACCAGUGGCGAAGGCGGGUCUCUGGGCUGACACUGACGCUCAUGCACGAAAGCGUGGGGAGCAAACAGG
Molecule: ribosomal RNA, 253 nt
Filed under: uncultured bacterium
Lineage: Bacteria
Description: partial 16S ribosomal RNA
Rfam family: Bacterial small subunit ribosomal RNA
Source: RNAcentral